RNAcentral lists this ribosomal RNA (346 nucleotides) under uncultured eukaryote. RNAcentral's name for it is "SSU rRNA". It matches the Rfam family "Eukaryotic small subunit ribosomal RNA", at positions 594 to 945 of the family's 1831-position model. The record is from RNAcentral.
AUAGUGUAUAUUAAAGUUGUUGCAGUUAAAAAGCUCGUAGUUGAACCUUGGGCCUGGCUGGCCGGUCCGCCUCACCGCGUGCACUGGUCCGGCCGGGCCUUUCCUCCUGGGGAACCGCAUGCCCUUCACUGGGUGUGCUGGGGAACCAGGACUUUUACUGUGAAAAAAUUAGAGUGUUCAAAGCAGGCCUAUGCUCGAAUAUAUUAGCAUGGAAUAAUAGAAUAGGACGUAUGGUUCUAUUUUGUUGGUUUCUAGGACCGUCGUAAUGAUUAAUAGGGACAGUCGGGGGCAUCAGUAUUCAAUUGUCAGAGGUGAAAUUCUUGGAUUUAUUGAAGACUAACUACUG